Bubalus bubalis (water buffalo) is the source of this 640-nucleotide long non-coding RNA. RefSeq lists it as uncharacterized. The transcript has 3 exons. The record is from RefSeq and is a predicted model, not a curated record. NCBI's taxonomy places the organism in Eukaryota, Metazoa, Chordata, Mammalia, Artiodactyla, Bovidae.
CUUUGAUGAAGUGUGGGGAAAAGUUUGUGUUUGAGUAGAAAUCGCAAUUUGCAGAAUCAAAAGAACAGGGAGUUGAGUCCUGAUUCUUUCCAGUUUCGGCUUCCUGGCCUGGGAAAAGAAGCCGGAAAGGGAAAGGAACAGAUUCUCCUCUAGAGACUCCGGAAGGAACGCGGCCCUUGAUACUGCCCAGUGCAACUGAGUUGGGACUUCUGGCCUCCAGCACUGUGAACACAGCAAUCUGUGACAGCAGCCACAGGAAGCGAACACACUGAACAAACGAUUAACCCUAACAUCAGGUGAAUCAGUGCUAUGGGGAUCAAAAGCCAGGGAAGGAGAUGGAGAGUGAGGAAGAAUGUUAAGUCAGUUGGGAUGGUGGGGGACACCUGAUCUCAGGUGAGAAGCCCUGUGACAACCCCUUGCUUGGGAAGUUACGAGAGCAGAGAGAUGCACUGUGGUUAUUGAAAAAGAGCAAAGGAGAGAAGAAACAGGAGCAAAGAGUAACCAGGGACGAGGUCCCCUAAUGGCUGCAGUUAAGAGUUUUGGAUUUGAAAUUAAAAAGAGACUUAACUUGGAUGAGCAAUGCGACUGAAUAUGUCAGAUCUGAUGAGCUGGUCCCCGGUUUCACAGAAAAACGCGGCUG